Molecule: transfer RNA, 65 nt
Filed under: Entiminae sp. GENSP01
Lineage: Eukaryota; Metazoa; Arthropoda; Insecta; Coleoptera; Curculionidae
Description: tRNA-Phe
Source: RNAcentral
ACUUAAAUAGCUUAUAUAAGAGCACAGUGUUGAAGGCACUGGGGAGAUUUAAUAAUUUUUAAGUA